This is a ribosomal RNA of Pteropus vampyrus (large flying fox), 119 nucleotides long. The record is from Ensembl. Lineage: Eukaryota; Metazoa; Chordata; Mammalia; Chiroptera; Pteropodidae.
GUCUAUAGCCAUGCUACCCUGAGCAAGCUCAAUCUCAUCUGAUCUUAGAAGCUAAGCAGGGUUGGGCUUGGUUAGUACUUGGAUGGGAGAUCACCUAGGAAGACCAGGUGCUGUAGGUG